This 586-nucleotide ribosomal RNA is filed under the name Charybdis lucifera. Its description in RNAcentral is "partial 16S ribosomal RNA". It matches the Rfam family "Archaeal large subunit ribosomal RNA", at positions 1998 to 2807 of the family's 2987-position model. Lineage: Eukaryota; Metazoa; Arthropoda; Malacostraca; Decapoda; Portunidae. The record is from RNAcentral.
UAUUAAAUAGCCGCGGUAUUUUGACCGUGCAAAGGUAGCAUAAUCAUUAGUUUUUUAAUUGAAAACUUGUAUGAAUGGUUGGACAAAGAAGAAGCUGUCUCUUGUGUUAAGAUUGAAUUUAACUUUUAAGUGAAAAGGCUUAAAUAUUCUAGAGGGACGAUAAGACCCUAUAAAGCUUUAUAAAUUUAAAGAUUUUGUAUAUUUUUAUAUAAAAAUAAAUUCUAAAAGUUUAUUUGGUUGGGGCGACAAUGGUAUAAUUUAAAUAACUGCUAUUAAAUUUAACAAAUAUAUUUGUUUUAUAAAAAUAAUUGAUCCUUUAUAAGGAUUUUAAGAUCAAGUUACUUUAGGGAUAACAGCGUUAUUUUUCCUGAGAGUUCUUAUCAAAGGAAAAGUUUGCGACCUCGAUGUUGAAUUAAAAUGUCUUUUUAGUGCAGCAGCUAUAAAAGAAGGUCUGUUCGACCUUUAAUAUUUUACAUGAUUUGAGUUCAGACCGGCGAGAGCCAGGUCGGUUUCUAUCUUCUAGAUAAUAAAUUGAGUAUUCUAGUACGAAAGGAUUGAGUAGUCAAAAUUUUUUUAAAAAUGAAAU